RNAcentral lists this ribosomal RNA (292 nucleotides) under uncultured bacterium. RNAcentral's name for it is "partial 16S ribosomal RNA". It matches the Rfam family "Bacterial small subunit ribosomal RNA", at positions 505 to 796 of the family's 1533-position model. The record is from RNAcentral.
GUGUCAGCAGCCGCGGUAAUACAGAGGGUGCGAGCGUUAAUCGGAAUUACUGGGCGUAAAGCGCACGUAGGUGGCUUUGCAAGUCGAUUGUGAAAUCCCCGGGCUUAACCUGGGAACUGCAGUCGAGACUGCUUUGCUUGAGUAUGGGAGAGGGAGGUGGAAUUUCCGGUGUAGCGGUGAAAUGCGUAGAUAUCGGAAGGAACAUCAGUGGCGAAGGCGACCUCCUGGACCAAUACUGACACUCAAGUGCGAAAGCGUGGGGAGCAAACAGGAUUAGAUACCCCCGUAGUCC